This 465-nucleotide ribosomal RNA is filed under the name Vreelandella stevensii. Its description in RNAcentral is "partial 16S ribosomal RNA". It matches the Rfam family "Bacterial small subunit ribosomal RNA", at positions 338 to 795 of the family's 1533-position model. The record is from RNAcentral. Lineage: Bacteria; Pseudomonadati; Pseudomonadota; Gammaproteobacteria; Oceanospirillales; Halomonadaceae.
CCUACGGGUGGCAGCAGUGGGGAAUAUUGGACAAUGGGGGGAACCCUGAUCCAGCCAUGCCGCGUGUGUGAAGAAGGCCCUCGGGUUGUAAAGCACUUUCAGUGAGGAAGAACGCCUGGUGGUUAAUACCCAUCAGGAAAGACAUCACUCACAGAAGAAGCACCGGCUAACUCCGUGCCAGCAGCCGCGGUAAUACGGAGGGUGCGAGCGUUAAUCGGAAUUACUGGGCGUAAAGCGCGCGUAGGUGGCUUGAUAAGCCGGUUGUGAAAGCCCCGGGCUCAACCUGGGAACGGCAUCCGGAACUGUCAAGCUAGAGUGCAGGAGAGGAAGGUAGAAUUCCCGGUGUAGCGGUGAAAUGCGUAGAGAUCGGGAGGAAUACCAGUGGCGAAGGCGGCCUUCUGGACUGACACUGGCACUGAGGUGCGAAAGCGUGGGUAGCAAACAGGAUUAGAUACCCCAGUAGUC